AGUGAACGCUGGCGGUAGGCCUAACACAUGCAAGUCGAACGGCAGCACAGUAAGAGCUUGCUCUUACGGGUGGCGAGUGGCGGACGGGUGAGGAAUACAUCGGAAUCUACUUUUUCGUGGGGGAUAACGUAGGGAAACUUACGCUAAUACCGCAUACGACCUACGGGUGAAAGCAGGGGAUCUUCGGACCUUGCGCGAUUGAAUGAGCCGAUGCCGGAUUAGCUAGUUGGCGGGGUAAAGGCCCACCAAGGCGACGAUCCGUAGCUGGUCUGAGAGGAUGAUCAGCCACACUGGAACUGAGACACGGUCCAGACCCCUACGGGAGGCAGCAGUGGGGAAUAUUGGACAAUGGGCGCAAGCCUGAUCCAGCCAUACCGCGUGGGUGAAGAAGGCCUUCGGGUUGUAAAGCCCUUUUGUUGGGAAAGAAAAGCAGCAGGUUAAUACCCCGCUGUUCUGACGGUACCCAAAGAAUAAGCACCGGCUAACUUCGUG
RNAcentral lists this ribosomal RNA (492 nucleotides) under uncultured bacterium. RNAcentral's name for it is "partial 16S ribosomal RNA". It matches the Rfam family "Bacterial small subunit ribosomal RNA", at positions 29 to 507 of the family's 1533-position model. The record is from RNAcentral.